Anopheles merus is the source of this 2147-nucleotide RNA transcript. RefSeq lists it as uncharacterized. NCBI's taxonomy places the organism in Eukaryota, Metazoa, Arthropoda, Insecta, Diptera, Culicidae. The transcript is spliced from 6 exons. The record is from RefSeq and is a predicted model, not a curated record.
CGUCCUGCCCAAAACAUAUCGUCUGUCAAAAUAGUGUGUGGCCCGUCGUCGCGGUGCAAUCAACAACAACGCUCCGUUUCGAAAUGAUUGUGUUUAAAUUAAGUGUAAUAAGUUAAGAAAAAAAAACACGUUGUUCCAAAUUGUGCUCCAAUGUUUUGGAAAUGGCUGGAGGACAACUUCAAGUACCGGCGAAAGUGCGCGAUCGUGUUUGGCCGGAGGCGCCGUAACUCGGUGCUGGAAGUGAGCGGAAGUCAGAAGAUCACCCAGCAGCAGUACCGUGCCCUGCUGGCCUGCAUCGAUUAUCUGGAGCAACACAUUGGCGUUUACGGGCUGUUCGUGACCGGCGGUAGCGUAACGCACGUGAAAAGAAUAUUCGACAAGCUGAAGGCUGGCUGUCCACUGUUGCUGGAUUAUCUGCGCUCGGCCCAUGCACCGCGGGAAUGUGCGAUGGCUUUCCAUCAGUUCCUUUCGCUGUAUCAGGUGCAAGUGCUUCCUCAGCGUUGUAUCGAUGUUGUGCUGGGGGAUGUGGCCGGUGUGCCGAAGCGGCUGAUCGCACUCGACGUGCUGAACCUGCUGCACGAAGAGUACGACGAUACGCGCCUUCACUUUGCCAAGCGCUAUCUGCAGCUGAUGCGCCGCUACACCCUGUACGGCUAUCUGCGGCCGACGGAAGUGCACGCCGUCAUCACACCGUACCUGGUGGUGCCGAAAAUAUUCCGCGGCCCCGAUCUGCGCACCAACAUGCAGUCGAAAUCGAUGACGCUGUUGGAGCUGUUUCUGCUAGCACAGCUGUUGGACGAUCCGUCCGCACUGUCGGAACAGCUACAGCAGGCUUGUGCUGCGUAUUGGCAAUCGAACUGAAGUGUCCCACCAGAAAGAUGUUUAUCUAGCUCCGGUUGGAAUGUGAUUCACCGUGAAGAUUUCAAUUAAUCACAAAACAGUGAUGAGUAAGGCCUCCUGUCUCAGUCUCUGCAGUAGAGCAAACUGCAUACUCACUCGGCAAAUCCUCAAUCUGAGCAUAACAGACGUUAUUUGUUUGUGCGCUGGAGACUUUUUUUUUACUUCCCUAUUGUUUGAACAAACGUGUUGUUUCUCGUCGGAAGCAGCGUUCUCGUUUGCCUCACCAACACACGCCGGUGAAGAGUUCUACCGGUGGUGACCGAUAAGAAUCCGGCCCGCCGCAAAUGCACCGCACAGCCCUUGUGUCUUCCCUGUUCGUGUCUUUAUCGGUUAUGAAACCUGGUGAAGCGUGUGGUGGUUGAAUUGGGUGCAUGCAUGUUGAUUGCUAGAAAUAUUUGCUACGCAUGGAUAGCAAAACGGUGUGACUAAAGCACAUGGGGAGCAGCAAAACAAAACAAAACAAAAACGAACGAAACCCCCAGCCCAAAUGCUUCAGUCACAAUCGUCUGUCCACAGGGGAGUUAGUUGUUCCUGCCUAUCGUCUGGAAAGUCGCAGUUUUAGUCAUCCUUUUUUCGUCCGCGACAGACGGAGCAGCCGAAAGGGUUUGGGGAAGAAGGGGGGGGAGGCUUUCGCGCACAUGCUUGAGGGGUGUAUACGUGUGCACCUAUCGUAUGGUGGCUGUAUUGUGGCUGUAUAUUUGAAGUUCCCGCUACUAUCGCCGAUCGCUCAGUUGCACCUGAACCGUCCACGGCCCCGAGCGGAGUUUCCUUAACGGGCGGUCCCGGAUCAAAUCAAGCCGCGAAACGAAACGAGCGACCCCACCAUGUGUUUGUGCUGUGGAAACCGCGAAGGUUACGAUAUCGACGAUGCCAACUUUGGCAAAUCGUACAACGAAAGCUUCAGCACGAGUCAGACGGCUGAAGUGGGCCCACCGAUUGUGAUCGUUAAUCAACCGACCAAUGGGGCCGUUUCCGAAGGCUCCACAGUGCCGCCGGACGCACGAUAAGGCUGGGAGCGGAGCACUGCAACCGAUAAAAUUCCUGUCCGUGCUAUCGUUGUUAGCUAUCAACUUGCAUCAGCAUCAAUUGAAUUAUACAAAGGCCCACUGCAACUGAAUGCAGUUCUCUCAUUGAGGAAGUGGGUUACGGUCGAAUGCGGGAAAGCGGUUUGCACAGUGGAAUGUUUCAUACCAGCCAACACGUGUUGGCGCUUAUCAAUUGUUUUAAUUAGAUGAAAUGCUGAUUUG